CGCUGAUACAUUCUUAAAGAGAAGAUGUGAUGAAAGGGAUCCAGAAUGAUAGCCCUUGGGUGGGAUAUUGAUACAAUGUUAGAAAACGGAAGUGAAAGUGAAAGGUCUAUAACGCAUGGUGGAAAAAGGCCAAAGCUGUCAUUGAAAAUUUUCAGACCUGUUUGGUACAAAAGAGGGUUCUCACUAAGAGUGGGACGCAAGCAUAACCAAGAGUGAACAGAUGUUAUGCCGAUCAAGUUAUUGGUAAAAUCAAUGUGGCAGCUUCAGUUUCAGAUGACAAACACCAGCGUCACAUGUUGUUAGAAGGAUUUCCCUGGAACUUCCGUCUGUCAACAGAAAUCUUUAUGAAAUGUGGUUUGAUGUCUAAUUUAAAUAUAGCACCCUGGAAAUUCACCCAUGUACAGUGGAAUGGACAGAAACAUCAUUUGAAUGAAGAAAAAAAA
Long non-coding RNA from Peromyscus leucopus (white-footed mouse), 443 nucleotides. RefSeq lists it as uncharacterized. Lineage: Eukaryota; Metazoa; Chordata; Mammalia; Rodentia; Cricetidae. The transcript is spliced from 3 exons. The record is from RefSeq and is a predicted model, not a curated record.